Molecule: small nucleolar RNA, 73 nt
Organism: Sarcophilus harrisii (Tasmanian devil)
Lineage: Eukaryota; Metazoa; Chordata; Mammalia; Dasyuromorphia; Dasyuridae
Source: Ensembl
AAUCAAUGAUGAACCUAUCCCGAACCUGAUUCUUGAUGAAAAACUUAAAAUAUACGGAUCUGGCUUCUGAGAA